Molecule: ribosomal RNA, 1470 nt
Filed under: metagenome
Description: bacterial SSU rRNA
Rfam family: Bacterial small subunit ribosomal RNA
Source: RNAcentral
AGAGUUUGAUCCUGGCUCAGGACGAACGCUGGCGGCACGCUAAACACAUGCAAGUCGAACGAGAGAAGAGGAGCUUGCUUUUCUGAUCUAGUGGCGGACGGGUGAGUAACACGUGAGCAAUCUGCCUUUCAGAGGGGGAUACCGAUUGGAAACGAUCGUUAAUACCGCAUAACAUAAUUGAACCGCAUGAUUUGAUUAUCAAAGAUUUAUCGCUGAAAGAUGAGCUCGCGUCUGAUUAGCUAGUUGGUAAGGUAACGGCUUACCAAGGCGACGAUCAGUAGCCGGACUGAGAGGUUGAUCGGCCACAUUGGGACUGAGACACGGCCCAGACUCCUACGGGAGGCAGCAGUGGGGAAUAUUGCACAAUGGAGGAAACUCUGAUGCAGCGAUGCCGCGUGAGGGAAGAAGGUUUUAGGAUUGUAAACCUAUGUCUUCAGGGACGAAAAAAGACGGUACCUGAGGAGGAAGCUCCGGCUAACUACGUGCCAGCAGCCGCGGUAAUACGUAGGGAGCGAGCGUUGUCCGGAAUUACUGGGUGUAAAGGGAGCGUAGGCGGGAUCGCAAGUCAGAUGUGAAAACUAUGGGCUUAACCCAUAAACUGCAUUUGAAACUGUGGUUCUUGAGUGAAGUAGAGGUAAGCGGAAUUCCUAGUGUAGCGGUGAAAUGCGUAGAUAUUAGGAGGAACAUCAGUGGCGAAGGCGGCUUACUGGGCUUUAACUGACGCUGAGGCUCGAAAGCGUGGGGAGCAAACAGGAUUAGAUACCCUGGUAGUCCACGCCGUAAACGAUGAUUACUAGGUGUGGGGGGACUGACCCCUUCCGUGCCGCAGCAAACGCAAUAAGUAAUCCACCUGGGGAGUACGACCGCAAGGUUGAAACUCAGAGGAAUUGACGGGGGCCCGCACAAGCAGUGGAGUAUGUGGAUUAAUUCGAAGCAACGCGAAGAACCUUACCAGGUCUUGACAUCGUAUGCAUAGCUCAGAGAUGAGUGAAAUCUCUUCGGAGACAUAUAGACAGGUGGUGCAUGGUUGUCGUCAGCUCGUGUCGUGAGAUGUUGGGUUAAGUCCCGCAACGAGCGCAACCCUUACUGUUAGUUGCUACGCAAGAGCACUCUAGCAGGACUGCCGUUGACAAAACGGAGGAAGGUGGGGAUGACGUCAAAUCAUCAUGCCCCUUAUGACCUGGGCCUCACACGUACUACAAUGGCUGUCAACAGAGGGAAGCAAAGCCGCGAGGUGGAGCGAACCCCUAAAAGCAGUCUUAGUUCGGAUUGUAGGCUGCAACCCGCCUACAUGAAGUCGGAAUUGCUAGUAAUCGCAGAUCAGCAUGCUGCGGUGAAUACGUUCCCGGGCCUUGUACACACCGCCCGUCGCGCCAUGGGAGUCGGUAACACCCGAAGCCUGUAGUCUAACCGCAAGGAGGACGCAGUCGAAGGUGGGAUUGAUGACUGGGGUGAAGUCGUAACAAGGUA